This 497-nucleotide ribosomal RNA is filed under the name uncultured bacterium. RNAcentral's name for it is "partial 16S ribosomal RNA". It matches the Rfam family "Bacterial small subunit ribosomal RNA", at positions 28 to 507 of the family's 1533-position model. The record is from RNAcentral.
GAUGAACGCUGGCGGCGUGCCUAAUACAUGCAAGUCGAGCGAACAGACGAGGAGCUUGCUCCUCUGACGUUAGCGGCGGACGGGUGAGUAACACGUGGAUAACCCACCUAUAAGACUGGGAUAACUUCGGGAAACCGGAGCUAAUACCGGAUAAUAUAUUGAACCGCAUGGUUCAAUAGUUAAAGACGGUUUUGCUGUCACUUAUAGAUGGAUCCGCGCCGCAUUAGCUAGUUGGUAAGGUAACGGCUUACCAAGGCAACGAUGCUUAGCCGACCUGAGAGGGUGAUCGGCCACACUGGAACUGAGACACGGUCCAGACUCCUACGGGAGGCAGCAGUAGGGAAUCUUCCGCAAUGGGCGAAAGCCUGACGGAGCAACGCCGCGUGAGUGAUGAAGGUCUUCGGAUCGUAAAACUCUGUUAUUAGGGAAGAACAAAUGUGUAAGUAACUAUGCACGUCUUGACGGUACCUAAUCAGAAAGCCACGGCUAACUACGUG